GAUCAUGCUCAGGAUGAACGCUAGCUACAGGCUUAACACAUGCAAGUCGAGGGGCAGCAUGAACUUAGCUUGCUAAGUUUGAUGGCGACCGGCGCACGGGUGAGUAACACGUAUCCAACCUGCCGAUGACUCGGGGAUAGCCUUUCGAAAGAAAGAUUAAUACCCGAUGGCAUAGUUCUUCCGCAUGGUAGAACUAUUAAAGAAUUUCGGUUCAUCGAUGGGGAGUGCGUUCCCAUUAGG
RNAcentral lists this ribosomal RNA (240 nucleotides) under uncultured bacterium. Its description in RNAcentral is "partial 16S ribosomal RNA". It matches the Rfam family "Bacterial small subunit ribosomal RNA", at positions 15 to 245 of the family's 1533-position model. The record is from RNAcentral.